RNAcentral lists this ribosomal RNA (381 nucleotides) under uncultured bacterium. Its description in RNAcentral is "bacterial SSU rRNA". It matches the Rfam family "Bacterial small subunit ribosomal RNA", at positions 28 to 412 of the family's 1533-position model. The record is from RNAcentral.
GACGAACGCUGGCGGCGUGCCUAACACAUGCAAGUCGAACGGAGUUGCCCUUCGGGACAACUUAGUGGCGAACGGGUGAGUAACGCGUGAGGAACCUGCCUUUCAGUGGGGGACAACAGUUGGAAACGACUGCUAAUACCGCAUAAUGUCAUCGAGCGGCAUCGCUUGAUGACCAAAGAUUUAUUGCUGAAAGAUGGCCUCGCGUCUGAUUAGCUAGUUGGUGGGGUAACGGCCCACCAAGGCGACGAUCAGUAGCCGGUCUGAGAGGAUGAACGGCCACAUUGGGACUGAGAUACGGCCCAGACUCCUACGGGAGGCAGCAGUGGGGAAUAUUGGGCAAUGGGGGAAACCCUGACCCAGCAACGCCGCGUGAAGGAAGAA